GAGUUUGAUCAUGGCUCAGAUUGAACGCUGGCGGCAGGCCUAACACAUGCAAGUCGAACGGUAACAGGAAACAGCUUGCUGUUUCGCUGACGAGUGGCGGACGGGUGAGUAAUGUCUGGGAAACUGCCUGAUGGAGGGGGAUAACUACUGGAAACGGUAGCUAAUACCGCAUAACGUCGCAAGACCAAAGAGGGGGACCUUCGGGCCUCUUGCCAUCGGAUGUGCCCAGAUGGGAUUAGCUAGUAGGUGGGGUAACGGCUCACCUAGGCGACGAUCCCUAGCUGGUCUGAGAGGAUGACCAGCCACACUGGAACUGAGACACGGUCCAGACUCCUACGGGAGGCAGCAGUGGGGAAUAUUGCACAAUGGGCGCAAGCCUGAUGCAGCCAUGCCGCGUGUAUGAAGAAGGCCUUCGGGUUGUAAAGUACUUUCAGCGGGGAGGAAGGGAGUAAAGUUAAUACCUUUGCUCAUUGACGUUACCCGCAGAAGAAGCACCGGCUAACUCCGUGCCAGCAGCCGCGGUAAUACGGAGGGUGCAAGCGUUAAUCGGAAUUACUGGGCGUAAAGCGCACGCAGGCGGUUGUUAAGUCAGAUGUGAAAUCCCGGGCUCAACCUGGGAACUGCAUCUGAGUACUGGCAAGCUUGAGUCUCGUAGAGGGGGGUAGAAUUCCAGGUGUAGCGGUGAAAUGCGUAGAGAUCUGGAGGAAUACCGGUGGCGAAGGCGGCCCCCUGGACGAAGACUGACGCUCAGGUGCGAAAGCGUGGGGAGCAAACAGGAUUAGAUACCCUGGUAGUCCACGCCGUAAACGAUGUCGACUUGGAGGUUGUGCCCUUGAGGCGUGGCUUCCGGAGCUAACGCGUUAAGUCGACCGCCUGGGGAGUACGGCCGCAAGGUUAAAACUCAAAUGAAUUGACGGGGGCCCGCACAAGCGGUGGAGCAUGUGGUUUAAUUCGAUGCAACGCGAAGAACCUUACCUGGUCUUGACAUCCACAGAACUUUCCAGAGAUGGAUUGGUGCCUUCGGGAACUGUGAGACAGGUGCUGCAUGGCUGUCGUCAGCUCGUGUUGUGAAAUGUUGGGUUAAGUCCCGCAACGAGCGCAACCCUUAUCCUUUGUUGCCAGCGGUCCGGCCGGGAACUCAAAGGAGACUGCCAGUGAUAAACUGGAGGAAGGUGGGGAUGACGUCAAGUCAUCAUGGCCCUUACGACCAGGGCUACACACGUGCUACAAUGGCGCAUACAAAGAGAAGCGACCUCGCGAGAGCAAGCGGACCUCAUAAAGUGCGUCGUAGUCCGGAUUGGAGUCUGCAACUCGACUCCAUGAAGUCGGAAUCGCUAGUAAUCGUGGAUCAGAAUGCCACGGUGAAUACGUUCCCGGGCCUUGUACACACCGCCCGUCACACCAUGGGAGUGGGUUGCAAAAGAAGUAGGUAGCUUAACCUUCGGGAGGGCGCUUACCACUUUGUGAUUCAUGACUGGGGUGAAGUCGUAACAAGGUAACCGUAGGGGAACCUGCGGUUGGAUCACC
Molecule: ribosomal RNA, 1527 nt
Filed under: Escherichia coli DEC11C
Lineage: Bacteria; Pseudomonadati; Pseudomonadota; Gammaproteobacteria; Enterobacterales; Enterobacteriaceae
Description: bacterial SSU rRNA
Rfam family: Bacterial small subunit ribosomal RNA
Source: RNAcentral